GGAGGCGUGGCAGAGCCCGGUUGAAUGCGCCAGUUUCGAAAACUGGUAGGGGUGCAAGCUCCUCAGAGGUUCGAAUCCUCUCGCCUCCGCCA
This 92-nucleotide transfer RNA is filed under the name Candidatus Berkelbacteria bacterium. RNAcentral describes it as "tRNA-Ser". It matches the Rfam family "tRNA". From Rfam's summary of the family: Transfer RNA (tRNA) molecules are approximately 80 nucleotides in length. The record is from RNAcentral. Lineage: Bacteria; Candidatus Berkelbacteria.